GAGUAAAAGGAGUCCGGUCGAACAUCAAAACUGAUCCUCGAGUGUCGUUCGGCACCUGAAGAGGGUCUGACUAAGGUUGUUCAUUUCUGGACCAAGACGCGAAAUCGAUACUUUAGUGGUAUCUCACGGCAAUGAAACCUCAUCGAAUCGGUUACUGCAUGUUUCGUUGGGUUUCCGCCAGAUGACGUA
This 189-nucleotide ribosomal RNA is filed under the name Colpoda cucullus. Its description in RNAcentral is "partial 23S ribosomal RNA". Lineage: Eukaryota; Ciliophora; Colpodea; Colpodida; Colpodidae. The record is from RNAcentral.